AGUGAGCGCUGGCGGUAGGCCUAACACAUGCAAGUCGAACGGCAGCACAGUAAGAGCUUGCUCUUACGGGUGGCGAGUGGCGGACGGGUGAGGAAUACAUCGGAAUCUACUUUUUCGUGGGGGAUAACGUAGGGAAACUUACGCUAAUACCGCAUACGACCUACGGGUGAAAGCAGGGGAUCUUCGGACCUUGCGCGAUUGAAUGAGCCGAUGUCGGAUUAGCUAGUUGGCGGGGUAAAGGCCCACCAAGGCGACGAUCCGUAGCUGGUCUGAGAGGAUGAUCAGCCAAACGGGAACUGAGACACGGUCCAGACUCCUACGGGAGGCAGAAGUGGGGAAUAUUGGACAAUGGGCGCAAGCCUGAUCCAGCCAUACCGCGUGGGUGAAGAAGGCCUUCGGGUUGUAAAGCCCUUUUGUUGGGAAAGAAAAGCAGCAGGUUAAUACCCCGCUGUUCUGACGGUACCCAAAGAAUAAGCACCGGCUAACUUCGU
This 491-nucleotide ribosomal RNA is filed under the name uncultured bacterium. RNAcentral describes it as "partial 16S ribosomal RNA". It matches the Rfam family "Bacterial small subunit ribosomal RNA", at positions 29 to 506 of the family's 1533-position model. The record is from RNAcentral.